RNAcentral lists this unclassified non-coding RNA (204 nucleotides) under Hevea brasiliensis (rubber tree). Lineage: Eukaryota; Viridiplantae; Streptophyta; Magnoliopsida; Malpighiales; Euphorbiaceae. The record is from RNAcentral.
CACCAUCACUACAUCGAGACCGGCUUCGUGGGGCCGGCGUUGAGGGCAACAAGGUCCGCCUCUCGGCGAACGCGGAUAUUGCCGUGACGCUGGAAGAAGAACCAUCGGGUCGGCCCGUUAACUUGGGGUGAGCGUCGAGGUGAUCACACGCUGACGACCUUAACCCAUUGUCCAAGCGGCGCGGAGUGGGGACCAUUUGCAGCG